GACGAACGCUGGCGGCGUGCUUAACACAUGCAAGUCGUACGGUAAGGCCCUUUCGGGGGUACACGAGUGGCGAACGGGUGAGUAACACGUGAGUAACCUGCCCACAACUUUGGGAUAACGCUAGGAAACUGGUGCUAAUACUGGAUAUGUGCUCCUGCUGCAUGGUGGGGGUUGGAAAGCUCCGGCGGUUGUGGAUGGACUCGCGGCCUAUCAGCUUGUUGGUGGGGUAGUGGCCUACCUAGGCGGCGACGGGUAGCCGGCCUGAGAGGGUGACCGGCCACAUUGGGACUGAGAUACGGCCCAGACUCCUACGGGAGGCAGCAGUGGGGAAUAUUGCACAAUGGGCGCAAGCCUGAUGCAGCAACGCCGCGUGCGGGAUAACGGCCUUCGGGUUGUAAACCGCCUUCAGCAGGGACGAAGCUUUUUGUGACGGUACCUGCAGAAGAAGCACCGGCUAACUACGUG
RNAcentral lists this ribosomal RNA (465 nucleotides) under uncultured bacterium. Its description in RNAcentral is "partial 16S ribosomal RNA". It matches the Rfam family "Bacterial small subunit ribosomal RNA", at positions 28 to 507 of the family's 1533-position model. The record is from RNAcentral.